CGUAAACACAAAUACUGCGAAAACUACGUAACACGGUGGCGCCAUCCAUCAUGCGCCAGCCAAAAAGUUGAAUGCGGAGGCAAGGCCAAGCCAAGUACGGCACACUGCCGUCAUUCGCAACCGCCGGAAGCGGAACAUCGUGCGCGGACGAUCGUUGAUGAAGGAGGACGAAGUGGUCGUUGUAAAUCUCGUGAAUGCACGUAGUCAGGGUUUUGAUGCCAGAGCUGACUGAUGGGUUCACGUGGUUCCUUUGAAAAAAUAAACGUGUUUUGAUGGCAGAGCUGACUGAUGGGUGCGCAUGGUUCCUUCGUAUGUUCUUCCUUUGAAAAAAUAAAUGGGUUUUGAUGCCAGAGGUGACUGGCGCAUUUUCAUCACUAUGUACAUAGAAAAUAAAUCACAAUGUGACAAACAUCACAAUCUGUUGCGCAUGGUCAUUGCUUAAACUGCUCUCAUU
Long non-coding RNA from Ornithodoros turicata, 454 nucleotides. RefSeq lists it as uncharacterized. The record is from RefSeq and is a predicted model, not a curated record. The transcript has 4 exons. Lineage: Eukaryota; Metazoa; Arthropoda; Arachnida; Ixodida; Argasidae.